Molecule: ribosomal RNA, 207 nt
Filed under: uncultured bacterium
Lineage: Bacteria
Description: partial 16S ribosomal RNA
Rfam family: Bacterial small subunit ribosomal RNA
Source: RNAcentral
CGCGUAGGCGGCCUGAUAAGUAGGGGGUGAAAUCCUGCGGCUUAACCGCAGGGCUGCCUUCUAAACUGUCGGGCUCGAGCACGGUAGAGGCAGAUGGAAUUCCCGGUGUAGCGGUGGAAUGCGUAGAGAUCGGGAAGAACAUCAGUGGCGAAGGCGGUCUGCUGGGCCGUUGCUGACGCUGAGGCGCGACAGCGUGGGGAGCAAACA